UGGGGAAUAUUGGACAAUGGGCGCAAGCCUGAUCCAGCCAUGCCGCGUGAGUGAUGAAGGCCCUAGGGUUGUAAAGCUCUUUCACCGGUGAAGAUAAUGACGGUAACCGGAGAAGAAGCCCCGGCUAACUUCGUGCCAGCAGCCGCGGUAAUACGAAGGGGGCUAGCGUUGUUCGGAUUUACUGGGCGUAAAGCGCACGUAGGCGGACUUUUAAGUCAGGGGUGAAAUCCCGGGGCUCAACCCCGGAACUGCCUUUGAUACUGGAAGUCGUGAGUAUGGUAGAGGUGAGUGGAAUUCCGAGUGUAGAGGUGAAAUUCGUAGAUAUUAGGAGGAACACCAGUGGCGAAGGCGGCUCACUGGACCAUUACUGACGCUGAGGUGCGAAAGCGUGGGGAGCAAACAGG
This 404-nucleotide ribosomal RNA is filed under the name Actinomycetes bacterium. RNAcentral describes it as "Actinobacteria bacterium partial 16S ribosomal RNA". It matches the Rfam family "Bacterial small subunit ribosomal RNA", at positions 355 to 776 of the family's 1533-position model. The record is from RNAcentral. Lineage: Bacteria; Bacillati; Actinomycetota; Actinomycetes.